Molecule: unclassified non-coding RNA, 1279 nt
Filed under: Pomacea canaliculata
Lineage: Eukaryota; Metazoa; Mollusca; Gastropoda; Architaenioglossa; Ampullariidae
Description: glyoxal reductase-like, transcript variant X3
Source: RNAcentral
AAACGCAUGCUUUCUCUGUUGUUUGAGACCUGCCGAUAUGCAGACGGGAGCGAUGUUCAGGCACGAUCCAAUAGUUCGUAGGGGAGUGGGGUGUGGAGUUGUGUGCCUUUGAUCACGAACUUAUAUCCCCCAAACGUCCAUGCUUUAAUGAACCAGAACUUGAACAAUCAGCAAAAGUGCAUGAAGAAAUCCUACAGGAUGGUAAGUAUAGCAAGAAGUCUGUCCAGCACAAUUCGCCUAAAUGAUGGGGUGGAAAUGCCUAUGUUUGGUCUGGGUACAUGGCAGGCUAAAUCAGGUCCCAAUGGACCAGCAGAGAGAGCUGUGAUUCAUGCUCUUCAGAAUAACUACAAAAUGAUAGACACUGCAACACUUUAUGGAAAUCAGGCAGAAGUUGGAGUAGGGAUUAAGAAGUCAGGAGUCAAAAGAGAGGAUGUCUUUCUUGUAACCAAACUGUGGACCAAUGGCUAUGAGUCAUGUAAAGAUGAAUUCAACACAAGCCUAAAAGAGUUAGACUCAGGAUACAUUGACCUGUACCUCAUCCAUUCACCAUCAGAUGGAUAUGUGUUGGAGUCAUAUAAAGCUAUGAUGGAGUUCCAGCAGAAAGGUCUAGUCAGGUCCAUCGGAGUUUCCAAUUUUGGCAUUCACCAUUUAGAGGAGAUGAAGAAGGCUGGAGUUCCUACCCCUGCUGUCAAUCAAAUAGAGCUGCAUCCCUGGAUGAAGAGAUAUGAGUUGGUGAAAUACUGCCGAGAUAAUGGAAUAGCAGUCAUGGGAUACUCACCACUAGUGAAAGCUGAAAGGAUGAAAGACCAUACCCUUGUCAGUGUGGCAAAAACGCAAAACAGUAGGCCAGACACUAAUUCGUUACAGUGUCCAAAUGGGGUAUAUUACCAUUCCGAAAACAGUGAAGCCAGCUCGCAUCAUUGAAAAUGCAGAUGUCUUUGAAUGGUCCAUACCAGAGCAGAAAUGACAAAACUGAAUUCUUUCCCCGAAAACUCUUGUACAUGGAAUCCAGCUGAGAGCCUUUGGAAGGGAUAAAGGACAGAAGUCAAGUUUUAAUGUUCAUUGCAGCUUUAUCAUGAUCCACACUAUUAAUAUUAUUCAGCAUUAUAGACUGCACGUUGAGCCAUUUGUCCUCAAAAUGAUGAGUUGUUUGAAUAUACAUGACUGCUUUGUGUUGGCAUAUUUCGCUGUAGAUUUUUUUUUUUUAAUGAUGAGGUUAUUAUUGCUUGCCAGAAAGUGUGCCAAAGAUUAAACAAGAAAUUUUGAAUUUUUGAAAACA